CCUCAUUGCUUCAGCAACCCAAACAGAUCCUUUUCAAAUGUUGGAAGUUUGAGAUGUCUGGCCACCAAGAAUUUACCAAAAACAGCAACUAUUCUGCUUUCUUGUAAUAACACUGCUCCACUAUAGACAAAUGUUUUGCAUUACAUGACAAAAUUCUGAGAAAAUUCAGGAUGUGCUAGGACCGGUGUUGCAGCCAUGGCAGUCUUUAAUGUUUCAAAUGCUACUGGAGCAUCAGGAAUCCAAGUACGGAAUUUUUUCGAAGCAUUAUAGCCAACCUUUCUGCAAUAGUCAAUAGUCUUUCAAAAAUUUUCUGUAAUACAUGGUCAGUCAAGAAGUGGUUGAAGGCUUCUAACGUUGUAGGUUUCAACCAUUUUAACAUUAAGAAUUACGUUAAAAGCUAACUGCCAAGUAAAAUGUCGAAAUGGACAUUUCUAAAAUUUAUUUCUUACCUCAAGUAGGGAACAUGAAAGAGAGCCCUAAGUCUCUAGAGAAUACUCUAUUUUUUAUGCUAAUUGUCAAAUGCUUUAUUAAUAUCUGCAAAAGAUAUUUAUGGGAAAACUACAGAAAAUAGGAUCCAACCAUUCCUGAUACGAGCCUA
This 598-nucleotide long non-coding RNA is filed under the name Carica papaya (papaya). RNAcentral describes it as "long non-coding RNA (CPAP_LNC014128)". Lineage: Eukaryota; Viridiplantae; Streptophyta; Magnoliopsida; Brassicales; Caricaceae. The record is from RNAcentral.